AGUUGGCCUCAAGGAUUUCUUCAAAUUUUAACCUUAAUUCUAUAGUGGGUCUGUUCGAUCCCAAAUGCCAUGAACAAACAUAACUUGAAUGUUGUAGAACAAAUUGUUUGUUUUCCACUUAGAUCUUGAAUUGGGACAUUUUGGAGUUAAAUGACAGCCAUUUCAGUCACUACUGUGUUUCCACCGACACUAUCCAAACUUUUGGGUGAAAAGCUAUUAGCAUAUUCUAUGCUGUGCAAUCCGCGACUUAGGCUGGAGAAUUCAAAAUGUUGCCUUUUU
RNAcentral lists this unclassified non-coding RNA (279 nucleotides) under Hevea brasiliensis (rubber tree). Lineage: Eukaryota; Viridiplantae; Streptophyta; Magnoliopsida; Malpighiales; Euphorbiaceae. The record is from RNAcentral.